AAAACGGCCCUUUCCAGGGCCACAAAUUUAAAUUGACCGUAGUGCU
Non-coding RNA from Trichuris suis (pig whipworm), 46 nucleotides. Lineage: Eukaryota; Metazoa; Nematoda; Enoplea; Trichinellida; Trichuridae. The record is from Rfam.